AACAAAAACAUGUCUUUUUGAGAAUAAUUUAAAGUUUAACCUGCCCAAUGAAUAAUUUUAAUGGCUGCAGUAAAUUGACUGUACAAAGGUAGCAUAAUCAUUAGUUUUUUAAUUGAAAGCUGGAAUGAAUGGUUGGACGAGAUAUAAACUGUCUUAAUUUAGUUAAUAGAAUUUUAUUAUUUAGUUAAAAAGCUAAAAUAAAUAUAAAAGACGAGAAGACCCUAUAGAUCUUUAUAUUAAAUAAAAUUAAAAUUAGAAAUGAAAUGUUGAUAAUUUAAUAGUAUUAAUAUUUUAUUGGGGUAAUAAGAAGAUUAAUAUAAUUCUUUAAUUUUAAACAUUGAUUUAUGAAAAAAAAAAUUGAUCCUUUAUAAAGAUUAUAAGAAUAAGUUACCUUAGGGAUAACAGCGUAAUUUUUUUGGAGAGUUCAUAUUGAUAAAAAAGUUUGCGACCUCGAUGUUG
This 459-nucleotide ribosomal RNA is filed under the name Hydrovatus oblongipennis. RNAcentral describes it as "partial 16S ribosomal RNA". The record is from RNAcentral. Lineage: Eukaryota; Metazoa; Arthropoda; Insecta; Coleoptera; Dytiscidae.